UUAGGGGUUUCUGGUUUUUCAAGAAAUGAAUUUAAUUCAUGCGUCUUAUUUAGAGUUUUAUUAUUUGUUUAUUUAUUUUUAUUUGGCGUUAAGAUUGGGAGGGAUUAGCUUCUUAUUUUAUUUUUAUAAUUUUUUGUUUAUUUAGUCUUGUGGGUUUUAUAGUGAUUUUCAAUUUGAUUAUGUUAAAAUUUUAUUUGUUUUGUUCUGUUAUUUUCGUUUAUUUAAUUAUUUAUUGAAAUGUACUCUUUAUCUUUGGUUUUGGUUAGUAAUUAUUGUAGAAUUAGUAAAUUUUUUGUUAGAUUAUUUUAUUUGUGUUAAUUUUCUUUGAGGAACUAGGCAAAUUUCAUGUCCGCCUGUUUAACAAAAACAUCUUUUCUCGUUAGUUUUUGAAGUAUGGCCUGCCCGCUGACUUUAGUGUUGAAGGGCCGCGGUAUUUUGACCGUGCAAAGGUAGCAUAGUCAUUAGUUCUUUAAUUGUGAUCUGGUAUGAAUGGCUUGACGAGGCAUGGGCUGUCUUAAUUUUGAAUUGUUUAUUGAAUUUGGUCUUUGAGUUAAAAUUCUUAGAUGUUUUUAUGGGACGAGAAGACCCUAUAGAGUUUAACAUUUGUUAUGGUCCCCUUUCUGUUUGUGAGGGUUCAUUGGGCCGUUUAAUAUGUUUUGUUGGGGUGAUGGGAGGGAUUAAUUUAA
Molecule: ribosomal RNA, 686 nt
Filed under: Reticulitermes miyatakei
Lineage: Eukaryota; Metazoa; Arthropoda; Insecta; Blattodea; Rhinotermitidae
Description: partial 16S ribosomal RNA
Rfam family: Archaeal large subunit ribosomal RNA (bases 345-507)
Source: RNAcentral